AGUGAACGCUGGCGGUAGGCCUAACACAUGCAAGUCGAACGGCAGCACAGUAAGAGCUUGCUCUUACGGGUGGCGAGUGGCGGACGGGUGAGGAAUACAUCGGAAUCUACUUAUUCGUGGGGGAUAACGUAGGGAAACUUACGCUAAUACCGCAUACGACCUACGGGUGAAAGCAGGGGAUCUUCGGACCUCGCGCGAUUGAAUGAGCCGAUGUCGGAUUAGCUAGUUGGCGGGGUAAAGGCCCACCAAGGCGACGAUCCGUAGCUGGUCUGAGAGGAUGAUCAGCCACACUGGAACUGAGACACGGUCCAGACUCCUACGGGAGGCAGCAGUGGGGAAUAUUGGACAAUGGGCGCAAGCCUGAUCCAGCCAUACCGCGUGGGUGAAGAAGGCCUUCGGGUUGUAAAGCCCUUUUGUUGGGAAAGAAAAGCAGCAGGUUAAUACCCCGCUGUUCUGACGGUACCCAAAGAAUAAGCACCGGCUAACUUCGUG
RNAcentral lists this ribosomal RNA (492 nucleotides) under uncultured bacterium. RNAcentral's name for it is "partial 16S ribosomal RNA". It matches the Rfam family "Bacterial small subunit ribosomal RNA", at positions 29 to 507 of the family's 1533-position model. The record is from RNAcentral.